AACUGGUCCUGUUGACCUAAACCUGGUACCAGAACUGGUCCUGUUGACCUAAACCUGGUACCAGAACUGGUCCUGUUGACCUAAACCUGGUACCAGGUCUGGCCCUGUUGACCUAAACCUGGUACCAGGUCUGGCCCUGUUGACCUAAACCUGGUACCAGAACUGGUCCUGUUGUCAUAAACCUGGUACCAGAACUGGUCCUGUUGUCAUAAACCUGGUACCAGAACUGGUCCUGUUGACCUAAACCUGGUACCAGAACUGGCCCUGUUGUUAUAAACCUGGUACCAGGUCUGGUCCUGUUGACCUAAACCUGGUACCAGGUCUGGCCCUGUUGACCUAAACCUGGUACCAGGUCUGGCCCUGUUGACCUAAACCUGGUACCAGGUCUGGCCCUGUUGACCUAAACCUGGUACCAG
Oncorhynchus tshawytscha (Chinook salmon) is the source of this 416-nucleotide long non-coding RNA. The record is from Ensembl. NCBI's taxonomy places the organism in Eukaryota, Metazoa, Chordata, Actinopteri, Salmoniformes, Salmonidae.